Seriola aureovittata is the source of this 1550-nucleotide long non-coding RNA. RefSeq lists it as uncharacterized. The transcript has 3 exons. NCBI's taxonomy places the organism in Eukaryota, Metazoa, Chordata, Actinopteri, Carangiformes, Carangidae. The record is from RefSeq and is a predicted model, not a curated record.
GAAGUGUUGGCUCUGAAUGUUCACUGAAACGCUGCAGGAAGAGAGAGGGGGCUGCACAAGUUUCCUCCUGAGCUGAGCUGAGCGGUGAGGAGCCGUGAGGAGAUGUGGAUCGUCAUCAAAGUGCACUUCUCCCAUUGAGUGAGCCAUCCACUGUAGGCUACACUUUUCAGAAGUCAGGAAGCCUAUGUUUGCUCCAGGGAUUACAUUACCACACCAGAGGCCUUGCCAGACAGACCCAUGGACAGACACACUGCAUCACCACCUAAGGAGAGGAGGUCAGCCAGGGAGAGGCCCACAGCUGCGGCUUCGAGGUCCCAGUGUGUUUAUUUGGGCAAGCCCAACCAAAAUAAGCUCCAGCCAGGCAUUGCUCCUGAGGACUGGGGCCACCACCGCUGCGGUGCUUUUCAUCCUAACAAUGGGGAAAGUGCUCCGGCCGAGGAGGGAGCCACACAGCGCAGUUUACCGUAGAACAGCUGCCUCAUCUGUGGGGGAGGAAGUGCACUGCAGAUGUGGACAGGAUAGAUGGUUCAUGUUCCCACACCUACUCCUGUUGUACAGUUGUUCACCCAUGCUCAGCGGUCAGUGAAUGAGUUCCUUUGUUUAACAUGAGAAAGUUUGCCUGCCGAGUGGAAACGCCACAGGGUGGAGAUCCAGAAUGAGUACGGUGUUUGAUAUUUACUUGGAAUAUAUAGGCUGCAUAAUCUGAAGAAAUGUGUUCAAUGUCAAAAUAAUUCAGAUAUGAUCUUCAUAUGGUUUUGGUUCUUCAUAUGUUUUUUUUAGCUAGCAGACACAUCUUGUCAUGGCCCUCUUGAUGUACUGUAAUGCUUAAGGUUGCAAUGCUGUGACUGUUUGUGUGAGUUAAACCCAUUUGCCUUGUCUCUUUUUAUUGGGAGUCAGCAGACCUUCGUGUGUGAUUAGAGAAUAAAGAGAUUUAAGUUAAACAAAGUAACUGUUUCUGCUGAGUCUAAUUAUAGGUGUUACUUUUCACUGUGUUAAUAGCUGGUGUAAUAUAAGCCAAAUUUGGAAGGGCCAUAAAAUGCAUAAGAUCACAACAAUGCCUUUGAUUCACUGACCUUUUGUGCUAUCACUCAGGUGAUCUAUACUGGGGGUCAACAGCCGUUUUAUAUGCAGAAUAACAACAUCCCCAUCCUGCUUUACUCAUCACACUGUCAUGCAUUGACCCCCCCUAUUAAAAGGGUCACCCAGCCCUAAGCAAAGGUGAACAGGUGUGCCUCAGGGCUUGCGAGGCUGGAUGACUGACAGCUGCCCGCCCACCACCCCCUCGAGCCACAAGUCAGUCCUUUCUGCCCUGGCUGCCUCCUCUCUGCUACAGCUCCGCUCAUCUGUUACUGGCCGUAAAGUCGACAGAUGAUUAGUUGUCCUGCUUAUCUUGUUCGCCCCACCCAUCCCACCCGCUUCGUCAAUGCUGUGGAAGUCACCAUCUAGCUGUUUAUCUGUAGUUUGCCCUGUUUCAUACCAAGCCCAUGCCCAAGGCCUUACCUUACCUUACCUUAACAUACCUCCUCCUUUUGACCUCUACAUAACCUCUA